This 1522-nucleotide long non-coding RNA is filed under the name Gallus gallus (chicken). RNAcentral's name for it is "lncRNA (ENSGALG00010026579.1)". Lineage: Eukaryota; Metazoa; Chordata; Aves; Galliformes; Phasianidae. The record is from RNAcentral.
GGGGUUGAACUGGCUCCAGCCAGGCAGCAACCUACAAUUAGCCAAGCAUCUCUGGGAUGCCAUCAACACAGGAUUCCCUUUGAUGAAGCGUCGUAUCCAGAUCCCAAAGCAUCACAGUGGGAAGAGGCAGCCAGAUGGAGAGUGCUGGGGCACACCGGGAGGAGGCUGAAAACCACAGAGCUGCAACUGCAUUUGGCAUUGGCUCCCCGUGAAGUGCAGGCAUCACUCGGAGCCCAUCGGGGCGCGUUGCACGCCCGCUCCUCCCCUCCUCUCCUCGGCCACCCUACAGCUACGCUGCCGUCGAGGUGCCUCGGUUUCAUCAAUCCCCAAGCCGUACAUCAAAGGCUGCAUUUGCUUAGCUGCGCGCUUCCCUGGCAGGCUUCAGGGAUUAAUCACACCCGGCCCUGCGUGAAAAGCGUGACCGUGUCACAGUUGUUUGUGUCGGAUGGGUUCUCUCCUGGUUAUCGUACUGCAGUGCCGCCUUUGGCCUCCGUGGAUGCGCCGUUUCCAUCAUUAUUCCCUUGGGUUGGCUGGAGGUGCUCAGUGGAAGGCGCCAGCACGUAUAGUUCAUGGGCAGCUUGCUGGUGCGGUCAGGAGUCCCUGGUGCAAAGCUGCAUCCUGCCAUGCCCCAUUUGGGAGCUGCCAGCUUUGGAGGCCACCACGAGAAGGUUCAAAGCAGCCUUGGGAGGAGAGGACAGGCUCCGCUGCACCCAGAGAGGGCACCGGGGAAUUGCUGCUUCUUCUGGGAGCUGCUGGGACCCUCCUGCAAUGGGUUCCAACCCGACACAGGGCUGAGCUGCACAUGGACUCGGCCCCGUCUGCCUUUGAUCUCAAGCCCUGUCAAGAAGGAUGCUGCGCAGGAAUCUCACCCAUCAGGUACCACUAUGUCACCGCUGUGACCAAUGCCUGACAGCUUCGGGAGCGGAGCCUCCACCUUCUGCCCCCGGGCUGGAGGCAGCGUUUGAGGGCUCCGGGCUCUCCGCUCCCCUAUCCAUGAACAUCAGCAGGCAGAGCAGCCCCGGGUCCCCAGCUGCGUGUUGGAGCUGCUGCGUGCUCCAGGUUGAUGGGCUGCUGCAGAGCAGGAAGGCCGGAGGUUGUCCAUCGCAUCCUGCGGUGGUGCCCAGGGCGUGGGUACCGCGGGGGUGUCUCUGGGUGCCACCCAGUGCCAGCGCAGCUGCUUCGCCUCUUCCAUCCUCCUCUGCCCGAGUAUCCCGAGCGCCUUCUCUCGACUCGGGGUGGGGAAGCCACUAGAUGGCAACGUUACCUGCAACGCUGCUGGGGACGGAGCCGCUGGGACCCCGGCGGGGUGCGCGCGAAGGCGGAGAGCUGCCGCGCAUCACCGCGGUUCCGCUCGCCGGUUCACCUCCAGCAGCGAAGCAGCUGCAUCACCACGAAGCGUCAGAGGUGACAGCACACGACGCUCACGCAGCAGCACUCGUGUGCUCACGUGUCGUCGCCGUCCCCACGGCCUGAAAUGCUCUAAAAAGGUCUCUCGGGUGAUGCCCGAAGUGACGCAUCCUAG